AUGACCAAGCUGGAGACUGAAGCAGGUCAGAGGGAUCUCGGGCUGCGCAGGGCGAGCGCACCCGCAUGCGUCCGGCUUAAGACAGGACUUCAGGCUGCCAAGUGCAGGCUCUGCCGACCACGUGCGUUGCCAGUGGGUGCUGUUUUGAGGGGCUCGGCCACCAGUGAAUCAAGCAAAAAGAACGUCAGUGAGCACCUGCCGUGCAGCACAAAUACGCGCCCCCUGCCCAGACCCGCGCCCAGAGCAGACCGGGACCCACACUCCUUGCUCAGCUGCCAUGGAACCCUCCACUGCUGCUUCCUCAUCUGUACCCUCCGAAUCGUAACGGGCAAAGUGUGACCACGAAACGAGCUUCUCGUAAGGCAGCUGCCUCUGUGCCUGCCCGGCCCCCAGAAGGUUCGGAUUUAGGUGGGUGCCGUACGUCCGAGCCCCCUUCUCUUGAACCUGGGCGGACGGAUCAAGUCCCAAGGGUUUUAGUAAUUUAGUAGUGUGUAAAUCCACGUAAACAGGACGGCCCCGUUGCGACGGUCCCCACGCUUGAGGUCCCAGGAGAGGCGGGGGAGCGCAGAGGCUGCAGUGUCUUCGGUGGAAGGCUUAUCUCACUUUGGAGAUUAGCAGGGCGGGGCGUUACUUGCAACCACGUUUUAAUGGACGUCAGGUAUUGCCUUUCAAACUGUGUCGGGUUUUGCUCUGUUUUGUUUCUGGCUGGAUUAAUUUGCAAGUGAAAAGUUCUGGGACGUCCUCGUGAGGUUGACUCCGACGAGCAAAGAAAGAGAAAGAAAUUAUUUUCACCCAAGUCUGUGCUGAACUGAUAGACGUCAAGUGUCCGAGGGGGCAGCCCUGAGGAGAUGGAGGAGCUGAGAAGCUGCGUGGGACUGUCCUGGGGGCUGCUGAGAGCCACUGGAAAUGCCACGUUCGACUCCCCAGAGAGUCCCGGGAAGCCUGGUCCUCGAGCUGCAGGCCGCGAAGCUCGGGGGCACAGGAGCACUGCCCUCCUGGCCUGCUUCGAGGGCCCAGCUGCUGUCCGCCCCCCGACAGGGAAGAAGCAGGCCACGAGUCCAGAGUGCUUCCAGUCGUAAAAGGCACCCCCGUUCUGGUCAGAAACGAUCCCCAAAGCUGUGUGUCCUUGAAGGACGUGCGCAGGGUCUCUGAGUGUGCUCGGCAUCAGAGAGCCAGCCUGGGAGGGACGGAGCCGCCCGACAGCUACUAACGUCUCCGCUCCUCCCCUGGGGGACGGACACGCCAGCUACAAGCUACCUCGGUCCCCCCACGCAGCCCCGUGUUGCCCCAUGCCGCCCUGAAGCCACCACACACCACCCCACAAUGAUCCCAAAGCUUCACAUAAGCCACUGCAGCCCUACAAAGACCCUAUGAGGCCCCCCAGCACCCCACACGACCCCCAGCGCCACUGCCGGCCUUUCCGCCCUUGAAAGCUCUCCCUUCUUCUCUGGCCUCCCGCGGUCCCGUUGAAGACCUCCGAAGUCCGAGGAGCCCCGCCGCCCGUGCAGGGGCGAGUGGAAGAGAGAGGGGGUCCCGAGGCGCAGGCGUAAGAAGGGCCGGGAUACGUGACCCGAGCAGGUUGGCACAGGAGCAGAAGUUCUAGAAGGGUGUUCCGGGAGUUGGUGGUAGGAAAGGAUGGAUCCGGGGACGGAGGGGGCUGUUCCGCAGAGGGACUCUGGGGUCUGGCCCCCUGGCAAAGCCCCGUAGCAAGCGGUCCUCACCUCCGCUCACAUCCCCGUUUCUUCCAGAGCAGAGGUCAGGCCCGGGCCCGCGACAGACGCAGCCCUGGCCUGUGGCCAGGCCCCUCCCCUGCCGCAGGCCGUGAGGGCGUUUCUGUCCGGCAACCCACACGUGGCGACUCCAAGCUGGGAUGUGCCGUGAGCGGGUUCGCACUCUGCUUUGCGAACACUCGAGACACACAAUGUGGAGCAGCUCAGCGAUGUCUGUAUUCGUAACAUGGGCCAAAGCAACGACACGUUUGACGCACUGGGUAGACUAAAAGGUAUCGCCAAAAUCCGUGUCACCUGUGUUCUGUCGCCGCAGAAGGGAGCCCGGGACAGUGGACGCUGAAGCUGCCGCCAGACCUCGCCGCUGUGUGGG
Molecule: long non-coding RNA, 2100 nt
Filed under: Lynx canadensis (Canada lynx)
Lineage: Eukaryota; Metazoa; Chordata; Mammalia; Carnivora; Felidae
Description: lncRNA (ENSLCNG00005016533.1)
Source: RNAcentral